CAGAAAAUAGUUUAUUAAAAAUGGUAAUUUUGGGGAUUACGGAUGAUAUUUUUCUUUUCUGA
This 62-nucleotide transfer RNA is filed under the name Heterophrynus longicornis. RNAcentral's name for it is "tRNA-Pro". The record is from RNAcentral. Lineage: Eukaryota; Metazoa; Arthropoda; Arachnida; Amblypygi; Phrynidae.